AACGUAGGGUGCAAGCGUUGUCCGGAAUUACUGGGUGUAAAGGGAGCGCAGGCGGAUCUGCAAGUUGGAAGUGAAAACUAUGGGCUCAACCCAUAACGUGCUUUCAAAACUGUGGAUCUUGAGUGGUGCAGAGGUAGGCGGAAUUCCCGGUGUAGCGGUGGAAUGCGUAGAUAUCGGGAGGAACACCAGUGGCGAAGGCGGCCUACUGGGCACUAACUGACGCUGAGGCUCGAAAGCAUGGGUAGCAAACGGG
Molecule: ribosomal RNA, 253 nt
Filed under: uncultured bacterium
Lineage: Bacteria
Description: partial 16S ribosomal RNA
Rfam family: Bacterial small subunit ribosomal RNA
Source: RNAcentral